Molecule: long non-coding RNA, 806 nt
Organism: Rhincodon typus (whale shark)
Lineage: Eukaryota; Metazoa; Chordata; Chondrichthyes; Orectolobiformes; Rhincodontidae
Exons: 3
Source: RefSeq, a predicted model, not a curated record
UGAAUGGGGAAUGUAUCAGGAAGGGACCAACGGGUAACGAUCACAAAAAUGGAGUGACUCGUUGCGGAGUUUCCACCCCGACACCCGGACCAGAUUGACUGGGAGCCUUCAGACCAUCUGUCUGCGCCACUGGCUUUUCGAGACAGGCGGGCGAUCAUCGACCCCGGCUGCAGGAGAACGGUACUGCCGGGUGUUGGCAUCCGCCUCCCGGAGCUACAGCCUGGGACGCGUUGUUCGUCUUUCCGCAUGAGAUCAGGACAAAUGCAUGCAGACUGAUUUUUUCUUAAACCAAUCUGUUCAGAGAUGUUAUGCCGCUGAGCGAGAUGGGACUUGAAAUUCGGGCUUCCUGGCCCAGAGGUGCCAGGCAAUGAACAUCUCCAGCUGACAAGAUUCUAACCUUCUCCUCUUGACAUUCGAUGGUAUAAAAAUUACUGAAUGCCCCACCAUCAACAUCCUGGAGAUUAUCAUUGUCCAGAGAUUUUACUGGACCAACCCCUUAAAUACUGGACUGCAAGAGCAGGAGUUUCCUGCACAUGAUUACAUUGUGUUGCUAGUGAACUUCUUGCAGAGUUGUUUGCAGUCAGGCAGAAAAACAAGUGAGCACAAAGCAAGACAGAAUGGAUGAAAGAUCCGGAAGUGAUUGAGGAUUGACACUGCAGACACCAGGGAAGGAUGACAAAGCAAAUAAAAGGGGUUACAGCGCCACCUCUGGAGCAACAGGAAUGAAAAAUAUCACAACUGUAUUGCCCAUCAAUUUUAAUAUCAAGAAAACAAGAACCUACAUUUAUACAUUGUUUUGCUGGACA